GGACGACCAGCCUCACUGGAACUGAGACACGGUCCAGACACCUACGGGUGGCAGCAGUCGAGAAUUUUUCUCAAUGGGCGAAAGCCUGAAGGAGCGACGCCGCGUGGGGGAUGAAGGGCUUCGGUCCGUAAACCCCUGUCAUUUGCGAACAAACCUUACACAAUAACAUUGGGUGAGCUGAUUGUAGCGAAAGAGGAAGGGACGGCUGACUCUGUGCCAGCAGCCGCGGUAAUACAGAGGUCCCAAGCGUUGUUCGGAUUCACUGGGCGUAAAGGGUGCGCAGGUGGGCUGGUAAGUUCGAUGUGAAAGCCCCGGGCUUAACCCGGGAAUGGCAUUGGAUACUACUGGUCUGGAGGAUUGGAGGGGGGACUGGAAUUCUUGGUGUAGCAGUGAAAUGCGUAGAUAUCAAGAGGAACACCAGUGGCGAAGGCGAGUCCCUGGACAAUUCCUGACACUGAGGCACGAAAGCCAAGGGAGCAAACAGGAUUAGAUACCCUGGUAGUCUUGGCUGUAAACGGUGCGUAUUUGCUGUAAACGGAAUCGACCCCGUUUGUGGCGUAGCUAACGCGAUAAAUACGCCGCCUGGGAAGUACGGUCGCAAGAUUAAAACUCAAAGAAAUUGACGGGGGCCUGCACAAGCGGUGGAGUAUGUGGCUUAAUUCGAUCAACGCGAAGAACCUUACCUGGCCUUGACGUGCAUGUGGUAGAACCAUGAAAGUGGGACGAUCCCGCAAGGGAAGCAUGCACAGGUGCUGCAUGGCUGUCGUCAGCUCGUGUCGUGAGAUGUUGGGUUAAGUCCCGCAACGAGCGCAACCCUUGUGUCCUGUUGCCACUCCCUCGAGAGAGGGAAGCACUCUGGACAGACUGCCUCGCUUAAACGAGGAGGAAGGUGGGGAUGACGUCAAGUCAGUAUGGCCCUUACGGCCAGGGCUGCACACGUACUACAAUGCUUGGCACAAAGGGAAGCUAGACCGUCAGGUGGAGCAAAUCCCAUAAAACCAUGCCCAGUUCAGAUUGUCGUCUGCAACUCGACGACAUGAAGCCGGAAUCGCUAGUAAUGGCGCAUCAGCUACGGCGCCGUGAAUACGUUCCCAGGCCUUGUACACACCGCCCGUCACAUCAUGAAAGCCGGUUGUACCCGAAGUCCACUUUGUUAACCGCAAGGAGACAGUGGCCGAAGGUAUGGCUGGUGAUUGGGAUGAAGUCGUAACAAGGUA
This 1217-nucleotide ribosomal RNA is filed under the name metagenome. RNAcentral describes it as "bacterial SSU rRNA". It matches the Rfam family "Bacterial small subunit ribosomal RNA", at positions 298 to 1498 of the family's 1533-position model. The record is from RNAcentral.